RNAcentral lists this ribosomal RNA (1346 nucleotides) under uncultured bacterium. RNAcentral describes it as "bacterial SSU rRNA". It matches the Rfam family "Bacterial small subunit ribosomal RNA", at positions 28 to 1381 of the family's 1533-position model. The record is from RNAcentral.
GACGAAUUCUGGCGGUGUGCUUAACACAUGCAAGUCGAACGGAAAGGCCCUGCUUUUGUGGGGUGCUCGAGUGGCGAACGGGUGAGUAACACGUGAGUAACCUGCCCUUGACUUUGGGAUAACUUCAGGAAACUGGGGCUAAUACCGGAUAGGAGCUCCUGCUGCAUGGUGGGGGUUGGAAAGUUUCGGCGGUUGGGGAUGGACUCGCGGCUUAUCAGCUUGUUGGUGGGGUAGUGGCUUACCAAGGCUUUGACGGGUAGCCGGCCUGAGAGGGUGACCGGCCACAUUGGGACUGAGAUACGGCCCAGACUCCUACGGGAGGCAGCAGUGGGGAAUAUUGCACAAUGGGCGGAAGCCUGAUGCAGCAACGCCGCGUGCGGGAUGACGGCCUUCGGGUUGUAAACCGCUUUCGCCUGUGACGAAGCGUGAGUGACGGUAAUGGGUAAAGAAGCACCGGCUAACUACGUGCCAGCAGCCGCGGUGAUACGUAGGGUGCGAGCGUUGUCCGGAUUUAUUGGGCGUAAAGGGCUCGUAGGUGGUUGAUCGCGUCGGAAGUGUAAUCUUGGGGCUUAACCCUGAGCGUGCUUUCGAUACGGGUUGACUUGAGGAAGGUAGGGGAGAAUGGAAUUCCUGGUGGAGCGGUGGAAUGCGCAGAUAUCAGGAGGAACACCAGUGGCGAAGGCGGUUCUCUGGGCCUUUCCUGACGCUGAGGAGCGAAAGCGUGGGGAGCGAACAGGCUUAGAUACCCUGGUAGUCCACGCUGUAAACGGUGGGUACUAGGUGUGGGGUCCAUUCCACGGGUUCCGUGCCGUAGCUAACGCUUUAAGUACCCCGCCUGGGGAGUACGGCCGCAAGGCUAAAACUCAAAGGAAUUGACGGGGCCCCGCACAAGCGGCGGAGCAUGCGGAUUAAUUCGAUGCAACGCGUAGAACCUUACCUGGGUUUGACAUGGAUCGGGAGCGCUCAGAGAUGGGUGUGCCUCUUUUGGGGUCGGUUCACAGGUGGUGCAUGGCUGUCGUCAGCUCGUGUCGUGAGACGUUGGGUUAAGUCCCGCAACGAGCGCAACCCUUGUUCACUGUUGCCAGCACGUUAUGGUGGGGACUCAGUGGAGACCGCCGGGGUCAACUCGGAGGAAGGUGGGGAUGACGUCAAGUCAUCAUGCCCCUUAUGUCCAGGGCUUCACGCAUGCUACAAUGGCUGGUACAGAGAGUGGCGAGCCUGUGAGGGUGAGCGAAUCUCGGAAAGCCGGUCUCAGUUCGGAUUGGGGUCUGCAACUCGACCUCAUGAAGUCGGAGUCGCUAGUAAUCGCAGAUCAGCAACGCUGCGGUGAAUACGUUCCCGGGGCU